Molecule: long non-coding RNA, 5077 nt
Filed under: Macaca mulatta (Rhesus monkey)
Lineage: Eukaryota; Metazoa; Chordata; Mammalia; Primates; Cercopithecidae
Description: lncRNA (ENSMMUG00000057702.1)
Source: RNAcentral
CUCUGCUUAGUCAUUAUCUGGGUCUCUGUGGUCUAGCCGGGGCAGGAGUGGAGGCGGCAUGUUCCUUGCUGCGGCCAAGCAAGGCUGCUGGGCCCCAGGUGCUGGCCUGCCAGGUGCUGUGGGGUCUGCCCCGUGCAUCCCCUGCAGAGGUGCUCCCCAGGCCCCACUGGACCACGGCUAAGGCUGAGCUUUAAUUCGUUUGUAUACAAGCAGAUUUCAGGUGUACUAACUGAACAAGAUGCAUGCUUUUAAAAAUCAAGAGUGGCAACAGAACAGCAAGGGGCCAUGCCCCAAGGCCCGACCUGGACACCUCCCAGUAAGUGACAGUAACGCAGGAGACUUAAGGGUAGGAAUUCAAUGGACACAUCCUUUAGCCAAGAUGUGGCAUUUCUGUCUGUAAUAUGAACACACCCUUAUAUGACAGGGGUUAGUAAACAUCCCUGAUUCCUCAGGUGGGGACAGUCACACGCUUGCAGGAGGAUUUUGCAAUGGGGCUGAGCCCAGUGAGGCAACGACCUUGGAAGCUGCUGUUAGUCACCAUCUGGGCAGGCAGCUACUACAAUGUACUGUGUUACCCCUCAGCUCUGGGGUCCUUUGAGCCCCGCAGGUGUGACCUUGCUGACCCUCUCUGGCCCCAGGCUGUGGGUGUUCCAGGCCGUCAGAGCUGCCGGGGGACCCUGGAGACAGAGCAGCUUUCCCAGCUGUGUCAUCAUAGAGACAAGGAAGCCGAGGCCACUGUCCACAGCUGGGGGCACAGUCAGCAAAGGGCAGCUAUUAUUCAGCUUGUUCAGUACCCACCUUGUCCCAUCUUUUCUGGAGCCAACGACACCUUUCUCUUUAAGGGAGGAUCCUCUGAGCCCCGCACUGGCCUCAACCGGAGAAAGUGCUCUGCUACCCUCUCCAAGGACAAUUGGUUCUUGGGAGGGUCUGCCCCACACGAGGCCAGCCAUGAACCUUCCUUGGGAAUUUCUGAAUUAGAACCAACAGCCAAGGCUCAUGCAUGCCUGGGGUGACCAAGGCCCGUUACAGACCCGGAGCCAGAGGACUGGCUGAUUUACAACAGCAACAAAACUGCAUCUGCACCAGCAGCUGCAACUGGAGUGACUCCCAGUUAAGUUUAUGACAAUUCUCAGUCCUGCUCCAAGAGCUGUGUCCCUUCUGUGCAGGCCGAGUAGGUGAGCUGUGUGGGGAUGUGGUGGGACUCCCACCCCUGCCUCCUCAAGUCUGUGAUGAGGGCCCUCAUCUCUGCAAUCCUCCAGGGAUAUGGUAUUAUGUUUAGUUCGCUAUUUUCAGAGGAAGACGCAGUUCCAGGGCCCUCUGCUUGGCCUUUCUGACCAUAACACCCUCGCUCUGUGGCCCAGAGAGCUAAUGUGAGGAUUCUGCCCGUUGCUGAAUAUGUCAAUUCAAGUAAUGAAUCCGGGAACUGGGGAAAUAGCCACAGGGUGGACCCAGUGGGCCCCGCUAUGCAUCAAACCUGAGCCGAAACUCUGCUGACCCCCAAGGCCACACCCCGACUGUGGACCAGUGACAUCUGGGAUUUCCAGGAGUUGGGGUCCGUUGAGAGCCAGCGUCCAGUAAUGCUUGGAGAGUCUGAUCAGUUCCCUUCCACAGUGGAGACAGCAGCCACAGCGUCUUCAGGGAAGGCUGGGAGGAAGAUGAAGCCUCUGUGGUUUCACCAGGUGGCAGCGUGGUGAAUGCUUCCUCCAGGGCUCUGGGUCUGUGACCCGGCUGAAGUCUGAGAAUUGAGAUGCUGUGACUUUCUAUUGUGGUGACACGAGUCGGACUUUCACCUGUCAGGCUACAGCGUGGAGCACGAGUCAGACUUCCGCCCCGUCGGGCCCGCGGUGGGGAGCGCGAGUCGGACUUCCGCCCCGUCGGGCCCCCGCCCCGUCGGGCCCGCAGCGCGGAGCGCGAGUCGGACUUCCGCCCCGUCGGGUACGCGGCGGGGGGCGCGAGUCGGACUUCCGCCCCGUCAGGCCCGUGAGGCGGGGAGCGCUAGUCAGACUUCCGCCCGUCAGGCCCGCGACCUGGGGCACGAGUCGGACUUCCGCUCCUCAGGCCUAGGGCGUGGGGCACGAGUCGGACUUCCGCUCGUCAGGCCUAUGGCGUGGACCUGUGGCCAAUACAUUGGCCAAAAUGUUCCUGUUAAAACAGGUGGGGGAAUGCCAGCUUUCUGCUGCGAACAUCCAGGAACUUCUCCGUGCCUCGAAGUGGCGUGCAAGGCCCCGCCGGCCCUGCCCCAUUCCCUCUCAACUCCAUCUUCCACAGCUCAUGGCUCUCACUCACCUCCCUGCUCCUGGAAUGAUCCAGGUGUGCUCCCACUUCAGGCUUCCCUGCUUGGCUGCUCUCCCAGGCCCAGCUCGACUGGCCCUCGCCUGUCUCAGUGUCUGUGCAGGUGACAACCUCUUGGGACGCCUUUCCCGGCCAUACUUUGAACUUGCUUCCUGCUUUCACAUUCUCUACACCUUUUCUGCUUUACUUUUCUUCAAAGCCCUUAGCAUUGCCUUGCACACCACAUGUUUUAUUUAGUUGUUUAUUGCCUGUCUCCUCCCUCUAAAAUUUUAGUCUCCAUUGUGGAGGACAUUUCCUGGCACACCCUCAUGAUUUUUGUGUUAUGAUUGAAUGAAUGACGUCAGCAAUGCCGUUCUUUCCCUCAGUUACUUUGUUUUGAGCUUGUGGCAAUCUAUAGAAGUUAGUUAAUGGGCCUUACAAUCUUGACUUGGAGAAAAGGAUGCACAAGGUGUCAUAUGUCAACACAGCCAAACGCCAACACGGCCUCCUCCUUCCCCAGGUUACCAGGAAGAAGUCAGAGGACCCUGCUGCUCCUUGACUCACGUGCUUCCUUGGGAGCUUGAGAAGCUGCUCCCCCUGGUGCUGCCGCGGGUGCUGCUUACCGGGAAACCCGCGGCAUCCGAGAAGCUCCACUGUGCUGGGUCUGUCCUGGGUUCUCCCUGCAGGUCAGAUCCAUGGUAAGAAAUGCUGGUGGGCACUGCAGUCUGGCAGGAGCUCACUGUGGGGAAGGAGAGGCUGGGCUGGAUCCCAAGGCUGAGCUGUCAGGCUCUGCAGCCCUCCCGGUGCUCAGUUAUCAGGCUCACUACCUCUCAAAGGCCUCUCUUCUCUACGUGGACGUUUGUCUGUCACAGCCGCAAGAUUCUGACAAUAACUUUGCUCUCCAAAUUCCUAAAAUAAUUGGUUGCUCCAGUUUAGCCAGCUAAGACUUCCUUGGAUAAUGACAUAACCUAGAAAGAUAUUUAACAAAUUCGUUUAAACUGGAAAUUAUUGACUCUACAGUUGAGUCAGAAAAACCCAUUCAAUACACAUUCGCAAUAUUCAGCAGCAGCUCAAUACACAUUGGCAAUAUUCAACAGCAGCGCUGGGUCCUGAGGCUCCAGGGCAGUGCAGGAGCAGGGAUUAGAGGUCUGAGCAGUUUCAUGGCACUUCUCAGGGGAAUACACGGGUUCUGGGUUCUUCCAAGGAACCUCCCUCCGUGCCGGCCACCACCUGGUCCCUGCUGGGGAAAUAGUUGUCCAGGGAGCCCUCAACUGUAGGGAAAUUACUGACCCUCCCGAUGUCACCGCAUCUCCACUGGGUCUUCUUUUAUUCCUUCUUUCCCCUAGAAAACACCUUCUGACACACUCCUGCUCUGCCUGUCUGUCCCCUGCUGCAGCCAGACAGUGAGCACGAAAGAAGUCCAGUGUCUGGACUGUUUGCUGAUUUGCAGAACCUGUUCUCUCGCAGUAUCUGUUUUCCAAUGCAGAUUUUCAUGGUCCCCUAAAGAAACUUAAAAUUCCAUUCCCAGAAUGACUUCAUUUCCUGAUACCCAGCCCAAAUUCACCUGUGUUUGGAGCCAAUGUGGCAACACAGCCACUUGGGUGGGGUGAACAUCACAGCCCACAAUUCUGCACUUCAGAUUUGGGUUUAUCUUAAGACUUAGUGCAACUUUGCAUUUGGCAGAGGCCUUUCUCUUUUGUAGCCCUUGCCACCAACCUCAUCGUGUAAUUACUGUGAAAGUCUGCUUCAUGCCUGUCUGCUCAGCAGAUGAGAGACCUUGAGGCCUGGGAAGAUCCCGCCCUCCCUGGCUCUGUAUUCUGAGGCAGUGCAUUGCCUAGUGGAUGGUUAAUUUUAGGUGUCAACUUGACUAAGCUGAGGGAAACCCAGAGAGCUGAUACAACAUGCUUUGUAAGUAUGUCUGAGAGGGAGGAUCCAGAAGAGAUCAGUACUUGAAUCAAGGGACUGAGCAGGGAAAAUCCACGCUCCCCAAAGUGCUGAGGGCCCAGAUAGAAAAAAAGGCAGAGGAAGGGUCAAUUCUUUCCUUAUUCUGGAUCUGAGACGUCCAUCUUCUCCUGCCCCCAAACCUCAGAACUCCAGGUUCUCAGGCCUUCGGACUCUGGGACGUACACCAGGAACUUCCCCGGUUCUCCAGCUUGUAGACGGCAGCAGGACUUCUCAUCCUCUGUAACCACAGAAGCCAAGUCACAUGAAACCCCCCCUCACCCCUCUCUCUGUGUACAUCCUAUGGGUUCUGUUUCUAUGGAGAACUCUAAUACAACUGGCAAAGACUAGCGUUCAGCAAGCGUUUUAUUUCUGAAUGACUGAGAUGUUUGAGUGGCUUCCAAGCUGACAUACCUGUGUUUCCAUUAAAGCCAUUGUUUCGAAGGUCGAUGGCAACAAAAGGUUGAAACAUGGCAUAAUCCGGGGUUGUUGAUUUGAAUUGUACCAUGAUGUGUUUAAAUUUGUACUAUGAUAGGGAUUUGUUGCAAGAAGUUAGGAAUGCCGGCAUCUAAAAGCUGGAAAAGCGUAUUUUGUUGGGGAGGUCUGGAGCUCCCAUCUCACACGCAGGAGGGAAGACACAACUGGAAGCAAUCAAGCUGACGAACGAGAUGUUGUUCCUGCCAGACGCAGGUCCUUGCCUUGUGUGUGCCUAACCUCACUUCGUUCGACAGCAACACAGGAGGAGGAAAUCACCAUUAACCGUGCUCUUUUAUGUGCAGAAGCUGAGGCUUGGAAACUGAAAAUGACACAGCUGUGAACGGUCUUGCUGGCAUUGGAGCCAGGAGAGAAAAUGCCCUUGGUAAAA